GCGGGAAUAGCUCAGUGGUAGAGCAUCGCCUUGCCAAGGCGAGGGUCGCGGGUUCAAAUCCCGUUUCCCGCU
Candidatus Nitrospira inopinata is the source of this 72-nucleotide transfer RNA. It matches the Rfam family "tRNA". Rfam says of the family: Transfer RNA (tRNA) molecules are approximately 80 nucleotides in length. Their secondary structure includes four short double-helical elements and three loops (D, anti-codon, and T loops). NCBI's taxonomy places the organism in Bacteria, Pseudomonadati, Nitrospirota, Nitrospiria, Nitrospirales, Nitrospiraceae. The record is from Rfam.